Long non-coding RNA from Prionailurus viverrinus (fishing cat), 320 nucleotides. RefSeq lists it as uncharacterized. The record is from RefSeq and is a predicted model, not a curated record. NCBI's taxonomy places the organism in Eukaryota, Metazoa, Chordata, Mammalia, Carnivora, Felidae. The transcript is spliced from 3 exons.
ACUGUCAGCUGCAAAUUGAAAUGCUCAUCUCUGGCUAUAAUUUUGGCUGAAAAGGGAAUGAAAGUGAUGUUGAGCUCCUGGAGGACACUGUGGACACAUAAUGUGGAUUAAUGACCUUCGACUGGAUCUCAGUAGAUCAUUGUGCAGAAGCUCAUCACUCAACUUAAUCCACGAACUCGCCAAAGGUCAAUGGUGACUACAAAGUCUAUAGGAACCUUCUGCUUUGUCAUGAUGAGUGACAGCUCCUCAUCUCCCAGAACGAGUUCGUGGCCAGAAGCCCCCCUGCUCCAGUGCAGGUACCUCACAUCUCUCCACCCCAG